RNAcentral lists this unclassified non-coding RNA (1381 nucleotides) under Hevea brasiliensis (rubber tree). Lineage: Eukaryota; Viridiplantae; Streptophyta; Magnoliopsida; Malpighiales; Euphorbiaceae. The record is from RNAcentral.
UUCAAAGGUAGCGCCACUGUAUUCUCUGCGCCUAGAACGUAAUGUUUUCCCAGGUUUUCCUCAGAAAGCAGCAAAACAAACAAAACUCUCCUUUUUCUGUUCGAAUUUGGCUCUGUUUACACUACCUCUCUGUCAUUGAUUCUGAUUCAUUAAAUUGCAAUUACUAUGGAACCCCCUGUUCAAUCUACAAAUUCUGGUGUUGAUACAGGAUCAGAAUCCUUCCGUGAAUCAAGUAGGGGGCCUAAUAGCAACCAGCGUUUCCUCCUUUACUAUCCUUGGUAACUAUUUUGGGCCUGACCUGAAAGAGGAGUGCCCACCAAAGUCAAUUUUGCAAAGAAGAUCUGAGGGCCUGUCAACAUAUACUUCAGAUCAACUAGCUGGUUGCCUGGUUCACGUAUUGAAACAGUAGAAGUGGAGAAGUUGUACUAUUAUGCACUUCGGAAAGCACAACAAUCUCUUGCCGUGAAAUUACAUGUAUUAAACCAAUUCUUGCAUGGCACUAUACCUACCUCUGAAAAUGACCCAACUGCUGUUUACCCGCAGUUUCCUGAUCUCUUUCCUCCACAAUUGCAUUGUUAUAAAUGGUUCAAAAAUAACUAUAUCAUUGAAAACAUCAUAUUCAUUCUUGAUCCAGAUGCCUCUUAUAUUAAGCGGAAAGAAAUUAAAAAGGUUUAAGAGGCUAACUAGGCCCGAGAAUCCCUUAUUGUAUGUACUUGGGCCAAGAUAUCAUGCAUUUCUGGAUGUCAGCACUUCAUAUGAUAUGCCAGUGCAGGGAGCUGAAGAAUUGCCUCCUGUCAAGCCUUCUUAUAGUUCUCAUAGAGCAGAACGUCCUGCUAGCAUCUUGCAAUCUGCAGAUCAGCAUGUCCACGAUGUGGCACCUCUUCAAAUUGUGCCAGAUAAUGCCUUACCUCCACUGUAGAGUUCUACAACUCCUCUGCCAAUCAAAGGUGACACCAGAACUGUGGAGACGGUAAGUCCGGGAAUGUUCCAGAACUGUGGAGACGGUCAGUCCGGGAAUGUUCUUUUUUCCUUCCUACCGAAAUAACAAAGAGUGGGAGCAAACUUAUAAAAGUGAAGUGGCAUUGACUGGGAGUGCUGCUACGGGGCAGGUCGGACCCAUUAUUGAACUCAUGGACGUUGGUGAAAGUGAGGAUGCAUAUUUGUUUCUUGUAUCUCUUCCCGGGGUGAAAUGGGAUUGGGGUAAGUUUCUUACUAUGAUCAAUGUAGUUUGCCUUUAUAUUUAUACAAGUUCAAAAGGAAUUAUUCUUAGCAUUCUAUCCUUCUCUGCCUGUAUUGAAAUGCUUGAGAUUGUUUAUGAAUGUUAUAUUUAUUCAUGUAGCAGCUUACUGUUAGACACCAUAGAACAACAUUUCAACUUUCG